AUGUCUCUCCGGUGGCUCCACAGAGUCCAACAGACAAGUGUGAUAGAUGUGCACAGUGCACAUGUCCCUCUUGUUCCGCCUAGGAGCGCUCCUGGAGAUGAGCCACUCCUCCAAAGACCGAUCAUGCGCAGGCAUCGAGUGCAACAACCGACAUCAGCGACAAUACAACAACUAAGGGUGGUUGAGUUGUGUGUGGAACGUCGACAGAUCCUUGCCCUGCUGCCAAUCGGGUUCGCGGUGUUCCUGGUCCACCUGGCCACCAUCCCCAUCACCGGCACCGGCAUCAACCCGGCGAGGAGCCUCGGCGCGGCCAUCAUCUACAACAGGGAGCACGCCUGGUCAGACCACUGGAUCUUAUGGGUCGGCCCCUUCAUCGGCGCCGCGCUGGCCGCCGUCUACCACCAGGGAAACGGCAGGGGGUUUUGUGCAAAAACUGCCAGCGCCGACCGGCCCAGCCACUUGGCAGCCAAUUGGCGAGCUCUGAUUGGUCUGGGACUAAAUCAUCACAUUGGAUGCAAGUUGGGAAGCCUCGUGGCCGCUGCAUCCACCGGAGCUCGCCCAGCAAGCUCCGAUCCUCCGAAUCGCCGGUACCAAUCAACACCUCCAAGAAGGGACGCGACGAUGACGACGCUGCUGCCAAGGGUUUCCCCCGGUACGAUGAGAGGAGAGAAGAAGGGUAGCCCUGACGCCCUCCAGGAAGGUCCGGCGGCACCCUCAAGCGCCACCGUGUCGGUGUCGGCCAAGCCAACAGGGAUUUCUCCCGAUCCCAACCUUUCACCUCUGGCACUCCGGAGCUCCCGACCAAACCGACCACCACCCAGCGCCAACCCGGACAUGAAGCUUACCAUGCUGUCUCACCACGGCACCGCGAAGCAUGGCCUGCAUAAUGAAGAAGAGGAGUCAGGACUAGGGCAGCAACACCGUCGGCAUGCGGGAGGGCCCCACCUCCACCGUCAAUAG
Molecule: ribosomal RNA, 960 nt
Filed under: Triticum aestivum (bread wheat)
Lineage: Eukaryota; Viridiplantae; Streptophyta; Magnoliopsida; Poales; Poaceae
Description: partial small subunit ribosomal RNA
Source: RNAcentral